Long non-coding RNA from Vidua chalybeata, 544 nucleotides. RefSeq lists it as uncharacterized. The record is from RefSeq and is a predicted model, not a curated record. NCBI's taxonomy places the organism in Eukaryota, Metazoa, Chordata, Aves, Passeriformes, Viduidae. The transcript has 3 exons.
CUAGACCAUGCAGUAACUGCCAUGUCCAGUUGUUUCCUGAACAUUCUAUUGCAUGGUGACUUCACCACUUCCCUGGGCAGUCCAUUCCAAUGCCUGACAGCCCCUGAAGAAAUUCUUCCCCAUGUCCAACCACAACCUCCUCUGCUGCAGCUUGAGAUGAUGCCCUCUUGUCCUGCCACUGGUUGCCUGGGAGAAGAGGCCAAUCCCCACUUGGCUGCAGCCUCCUUCCAGGCAGCUCUAGAGUGAGAAUGUCUGAGCCUCCUCCCCAGGCAAACCACCCCAGCUCCCUCCUCAGAUGCUCUUCAUAUGGGUGCUGGACCACAGAUGCAGAUAAGCACUUUGGAGUCUCUUCUGCUUCUUUUCACAAACUCAGACAGAAGAGAUGAAGAAAUCUUCCCCUGUUUACCUACCCAGUCUUUUGAUGGUUGUGAAAGAAUGAAUUGAACCUGAAACCUGCUUGUGUGUCAAGAAUUCCACAUACCUGAGACAGAUAACUUCAGUCAGAGCAAAAUUCAGCAGCUUAACCAUUGGUGUGAAACCUGUG